AUCACCGUGGUGGAGUCGUCGCGGAGGAUCACGUCCGGAAACCGAUACUGAUCGAAGAUGCAAAUUCAUGUCAUAGCCUGGUGGGCGUUGCAUUACCUGCGUAUGGCCGUUCACGCAUCUGCUGCCAGUGCGAUCGGUAAUUGCGGCUGUUCUAGUUUGAUCUGCAACUGAAAAAACACUAAAUUAUGACUAUCAUCACCACAAAAACAAACGGCCACCUGUAUGUUCGAUAGUGCCAAAGAUUCCCUCCCCCCAUACUGAUCAGAGCCCUAUCUACCCGAGAGGGUAGGCUUCCUAUACCAGGUUCUUGGUUGUCUCGGUUGCUCCUUUCUUCAAGCUUGGCGAGGAGGAGGGGAUCAGAAAGUCUUUCCUCUCGCUUCGCUGGAGACCUAAAGCCCUCCUAUUCAUUGUUUUGAUUUGUUUUUAAUUACCUUCACCGCGUGCCACGGAAUGGAAGAGGGCUUGAUCUGCCGUCCCGAGGCACUAAGGGGCUGCAAUUUUUGAAACAGACGGCAAUGUUUUGAUGACUCCUUGAAUCAAGCUUUUGAAUGAGACCCACGAUGUCUUUCUUAUUCUGAGUCGAACACUUUUCUGUAGGUUGUAAAGUCUAACUCUAAUUACAGUCAAGUCGAAGUUUCAAAUACACAAUAUGUCAUUAGGAAACAGAGUAAGAUAAUAUCGGCUUUGGAGUGAAUAUUUGGUUACCUUUGUAGAGUUCUGAAUUUUUUAUGAAUGGUUCUCAUGUACCAGGAAACACACAAACAGUUGAAUCAAGUUCAAGAAAAAAAUGUUUCAUGGUUAUAGGGAUCAAUACAGCUUUAGUAGCAGAAAGCGAAGAGAUUCUUUUCGUGCAACUUGGAUGCCACAAGGUGAUCAAGUGACAUUUUAGCCCAUUUUCUAGUUAUUCCUUUCUUAUUCA
Long non-coding RNA from Arachis duranensis, 919 nucleotides. RefSeq lists it as uncharacterized. Lineage: Eukaryota; Viridiplantae; Streptophyta; Magnoliopsida; Fabales; Fabaceae. The transcript has 3 exons. The record is from RefSeq and is a predicted model, not a curated record.